GAUGAACGCUGGCGGCGUGCCUAAUACAUGCAAGUCGAGCGGUAAGGCCUCUUCGGAGGUACACGAGCGGCGGACGGCUGAGUAACACGUAGGAACGUACCCCAAACUGAGGGAUAAGCACCAGAAAUGGUGUCUAAUACCGCAUGUGCUCUAAGGAGUAAAGCUUCGGCGGUUUGGGAACGGCCUGCGCACGAUUAGAUUGUUGGUGAGGUAAUGGCUCACCAAGUCGACGAUCGUUAGCUGGUCUGAGAGGAUGAUCAGCCAGACUGGGACUGAGAACGGCCCAGACUCCUACGGGAGGCAGCAGUAGGGAAUUUUCCACAAUGGGCGAAAGCCUGAUGGAGCAACGCCGCGUGCAGGAUGAAGGUCUUAGGAUUGUAAAAUUCUUUCACCGGGGACGAUAAUGACGGUACCCGGAGAAGAAGCCCCGGCUAACUUCGUGCCAGCCGCCGCCGUAA
RNAcentral lists this ribosomal RNA (458 nucleotides) under uncultured bacterium. RNAcentral describes it as "partial 16S ribosomal RNA". It matches the Rfam family "Bacterial small subunit ribosomal RNA", at positions 28 to 523 of the family's 1533-position model. The record is from RNAcentral.